GCCCAAAUUACCGGCGCUAAGACACAACAUAAUGGAUCACGCUAAGUUGGCACUGAUGCUAUAGUGCCCUAAGGUGCUGCUGCAUCUUCAGCUACCAGAAGGCAAGUACAAGUGAAGAUAACGUCGAAGACGUGCCGUGCUCCCCUUUCAUCAUUGGCAAAGGGCAGCCGCCGCACUCAACCCUGACAGAGGGAGCAAGGUCGAGAAGUCAAGGAAGCACCGCUGCCUCACACCACAAAUGACCAACUUAAAGCUCUGCGAGACUAUGAAUGCUAAGUGUUUCAACGAAAAAUUUGCAGUGUCAUUAUGAAUAUACCGUAUUUACUUGAAUCUAAGCCGAUUU
Rhipicephalus sanguineus (brown dog tick) is the source of this 343-nucleotide long non-coding RNA. RefSeq lists it as uncharacterized. The transcript has 3 exons. The record is from RefSeq and is a predicted model, not a curated record. NCBI's taxonomy places the organism in Eukaryota, Metazoa, Arthropoda, Arachnida, Ixodida, Ixodidae.